RNAcentral lists this ribosomal RNA (468 nucleotides) under uncultured bacterium. RNAcentral describes it as "SSU rRNA". It matches the Rfam family "Bacterial small subunit ribosomal RNA", at positions 26 to 518 of the family's 1533-position model. The record is from RNAcentral.
AGGACUAACGCUGGCGGCGUGCCUAACACAUGCAAGUCGAACGAGAGUAGCAAUACUCUAGUGGCAGACGGGUGAGUAACACGUGGUCAACCUACCUUUAAGUGGGGGAUAACUAGCCGAAAGGUUAGCUAAUACCGCAUACGAUCUUCGCGUGGCAUCACAUGAAGAUGAAAGGAGCAAUCCGCUGAAAGACGGGACCGCGUCCCAUUAGCCAGUUGGUGGGGUAACGGCCUACCAAAGCAACGAUGGGUAGCUGGCUUGAGAGAGCGACCAGCCACACUGGGACUGAGACACGGCCCAGACUCCUACGGGAGGCAGCAGUGAGGAAUUUUCCGCAAUGGGCGAAAGCCUGACGGAGCGACGCCGCGUGUGGGAUGAAGGCCUUCGGGUCGUAAACCACUGUCGAAGGGGAAGAUAUUGACGGUACCCUUGGAGGAAGCCCCGGCUAACGUACGUGCCAGCAGCCGC